Molecule: non-coding RNA, 158 nt
Organism: Paramuricea clavata
Lineage: Eukaryota; Metazoa; Cnidaria; Anthozoa; Malacalcyonacea; Plexauridae
Source: the annotation of a GenBank genome assembly
UGAGGAUUUUUGAAUAUAUGGCGAGUUAGAAAAAUGGACGAAGAAAAACAAGGGCGAGAAAAAACGGGCGAAGAAUAAAAUUUCCUUCGCCCGUUUUUUCUCGCCCUUUUUCUCUUCGCUCAUUUUUUCUAAUCCUCCAUUUAUUCAAAAAUCCUCAA